This 403-nucleotide ribosomal RNA is filed under the name Acanthamoeba genotype T4. RNAcentral describes it as "SSU rRNA". It matches the Rfam family "Eukaryotic small subunit ribosomal RNA", at positions 786 to 1096 of the family's 1831-position model. Lineage: Eukaryota; Discosea; Longamoebia; Acanthamoebidae. The record is from RNAcentral.
UCUCUGCCACCGAAUACAUUAGCAUGGGAUAAUGGAAUAGGACCCUGUCCUCCUAUUUUCAGUUGGUUUUGGCAGCGCGAGGACUAGGGUAAUGAUUAAUAGGGAUAGUUGGGGGCAUUAAUAUUUAAUUGUCAGAGGUGAAAUUCUUGGAUUUAUGAAAGAUUAACUUCUGCGAAAGCAUCUGCCAAGGAUGUUUUCAUUAAUCAAGAACGAAAGUUAGGGGAUCGAAGACGAUCAGAUACCGUCGUAGUCUUAACCAUAAACGAUGCCGACCAGCGAUUAGGAGACGUUGAAUACAAAACACCACCAUCGGUGCGGCUGUUCUUGGCGUCGGUUUCGGCCGGCGCGGGGGUGGCUUAGCCCGGUGGCACCGGUGAAUGACUCCCCUAGCAGCUUGUGAGAA